UACGGGAGGCAGCAGUGGGGAAUAUUGCACAAUGGGCGCAAGCCUGAUGCAGCCAUGCCGCGUGUAUGAAGAAGGCCUUCGGGUUGUAAAGUACUUUCAGCGGGGAGGAAGGGAGUAAAGUUAAUACCUUUGCUCAUUGACGUUACCCGC
This 150-nucleotide ribosomal RNA is filed under the name uncultured gamma proteobacterium AL10b16. RNAcentral's name for it is "partial 16S ribosomal RNA". It matches the Rfam family "Bacterial small subunit ribosomal RNA", at positions 340 to 482 of the family's 1533-position model. Lineage: Bacteria; Pseudomonadati; Pseudomonadota; Gammaproteobacteria. RNAcentral also lists the same sequence under 1 other name. The record is from RNAcentral.